RNAcentral lists this long non-coding RNA (279 nucleotides) under Hordeum vulgare. RNAcentral describes it as "long non-coding RNA (HVUL_LNC000681)". The record is from RNAcentral. Lineage: Eukaryota; Viridiplantae; Streptophyta; Magnoliopsida; Poales; Poaceae.
AUGAACUAUCAAUGACAGACAUAUCAAUAUCACGGUUUUCACUUUCAGAGAUUUUCUCAAAACCCAAUUCAACCUGAUAAGUACACGUGCAGGUCUCUCCUGUUUCCUUCAAUUUAACCUACAUCUUAUAAUCUUCAUUCAACAUCUGAGAUCUAUUUGAACAAACUACCUUACUGGAUUGUGUUUGUCUCGAGUACAGCUGCACUCGAACAAUUAGAAGUAGUGAACUGAUGGGGAAGCAGCCAAGCCUCCAAGUUAGCCAGAAAUAUAAAGUUAACU